AUUAAAAUUAUUUACAAUCAAAAGGAUCGCAAAUUUUAAUAAAGAAAACCUUUAGUUUAUGCAAUCUAUAAGGUAAAAGAUUGCAGAAUUUUUGGUAAUCUACAUACAAAAAAUGUUAUAGUCAUCCAUUGUGCUGCACCAAAGCACUUAGAUACUAAAGAUUGUAAAGUGUUGGACUAUUUACAUGCAAAAAAUAUUAUGCUCCCUAGGUUAGACAGAG
This 220-nucleotide long non-coding RNA is filed under the name Malus domestica (apple). Its description in RNAcentral is "long non-coding RNA (MDOM_LNC010802)". Lineage: Eukaryota; Viridiplantae; Streptophyta; Magnoliopsida; Rosales; Rosaceae. The record is from RNAcentral.